GGCGCACGGGUGAGUAACGCGUAUGCAACCUGCCUGAUACCGGGGUAUAGCCCAUGGAAACGUGGAUUAACACCCCAUAGUACUUUUAUCCUGCCUGGGAUGUGAGUUAAAUGUUCAAGGUAUCGGAUGGGCAUGCGUCCUAUUAGUUAGUUGGCGGGGUAACAGCCCACCAAGACGAUGAUAGGUAGGGGUUCUGAGAGGAAGGUCCCCCACAUUGGAACUGAGACACGGUCCAAACUCCUACGGGAGGCAGCAGUGAGGAAUAUUGGUCAAUGGACGUAAGUCUGAACCAGCCAAGUCGCGUGAGGGAAGACUGCCCUAUGGGUUGUAAACCUCUUUUAUAAGGGAAGAAUAAGUUCUACGUGUAGAAUGAUGCCUGUACCUUAUGAAUAAGCAUCGGCUAACUCCGUGCCAGCAGCCGCGGUAAUACGGAGGAUGCGAGCGUUAUCCGGAUUUAUUGGGUUUAAAGGGUGCGUAGGCGGUUUAUUAAGUUAGUGGUUAAAUAUUUGAGCUAAACUCAAUUGUGCCAUUAAUACUGGUAAACUGGAGUACAGACGAGGUAGGCGGAAUAAGUUAAGUAGCGGUGAAAUGCAUAGAUAUAACUUAGAACUCCGAUAGCGAAGGCAGCUUACCAGACUGUAACUGACG
This 648-nucleotide ribosomal RNA is filed under the name uncultured Bacteroidales bacterium. RNAcentral describes it as "bacterial SSU rRNA". It matches the Rfam family "Bacterial small subunit ribosomal RNA", at positions 97 to 745 of the family's 1533-position model. Lineage: Bacteria; Pseudomonadati; Bacteroidota; Bacteroidia; Bacteroidales. The record is from RNAcentral.